UGAUUGAUGCAAUUACAUUUUAUUUAUUGCUUAUAAAUCAUUCAAUAUUUUGUAAGUGUAAAUCAUAAAUGAUAAACACACAGUUUCAUUUCUAAUUUAACAGGGAACAACCAUUUAACUUUGAAAAAAAAAUAUGGUACACUACUCAUGAGCAUAAUUUUUUUAUUUCUUUAUCACAUAAAUGUCUUAUUUUUAAGGACUUUACAUUAAACUCAUGGCUAAUACAGUGUAAGAACAAUCAUUUUUUUCUUCUUCAAAUUUGGAAAUCGUAAGUAUUUUUUGUGGGGGAAAAACACAUCUACCACGCCCCACAUUAAAUGGUUGUCCCUUAGGAACAAUAAAACCAAAUUCUGAAUUUACCGUUUAUUAAAUAGCAUGAUGCUUUGUGGUUUCUUGUUUUAAUAUUUCAGAUGCCAUCAUGGAUAACAGACAUUUUACUCAACCAUGAAAUGAUGGAUGGGAUACAUCAUUAUUUUUAUUAUGAAUUCAUGGUUAAAAUCCAAGAGGCUACAACUGCUAGGAUUAACAUUGUGUCACUGGAGACACCUUGGAUGGUAACAGAGGUGACCGGUCAAGAUUGAAAGCUGAAGCAAUACCAUCCAUUUUUAAUUUUGGAUCAACUAUAAAAGAGGAAUCACCAAGAGCUAAACGCUUCAAACAGAGGUCCGCAGAAGAACCAACUCUGAUACUAAAUCAGUUUGAUUUUCAGUAUGAAACAGAAGUAGAUUCGUCUGAACCUAGAAAUGAGAAUCCUAUUACAGUAGAUGAUGUUUCCUCUAAUGACCAAGGAAUUCAGUGUGAUAUUCCAUCAUUUGGAAAAUUCAGCAUUGAGAGUUUCAAAUUUGAGGAUAAAUUGAUUAAUUAUUACACUGGUUUUGAUGAUUAUGAUCAUUUCAUGAUAUUUUUUCAUUGUCUUGGACAAGCUGCAUAUGAACUUCAGUAUCAUUGCUCUUUAUUAGACCCAAAAGAUCAACUAUUUUUAACCCUAAUGAAAUUGAGACAGGCAAAAGAGGAUGUUGAACUAUCAAUGUUAUUCAAAGUAUCAGAGUCCACUGUUUCUAGAGUCAUUAUGACAUGGAUAAAUGUUUUGUAUUUUCAAUUGAAAGAAUUAGAUGUAUGGCCGUCCAAAGAAAUCAUCGAAGAUACUAUGCCAGUUGACUUUAGGAAAAAGUUUCCUAAUACCCGUGUAAUUUUGGAUGCUACUGAGGUACCAAUUGAAAAACCCACACAUGUAAGUUGCCAAAGCACCACUUGGUCAAACUAUAAACAUAGAAACACUCUGAAAACUAUGAUUGGCUGUAGUCCUAGGGGAGCCAUAACUUUUGUGUCAGAAGCUUUUGGUGGAUCUGCAAGUGACAGACAAAUUGUUGAGAAAUCUGAACUACUGAAUCCAGAUAUUAAAAUGUUUGACAAAGGGGACAGUAUAAUGGCAGAUAGGGGCAUUAUGGUACAAGAUUUAUUUGCCAGUCAAGAUGUGUUUGUUAACACACCAACCUUCUUAAAAGGGAAGUCCCAACUAGAUCCACAGGAAGUGGUUCAUGAUAGGAGAGUAGCAUCCAAAAGAAUCCACAUCGAAAGAGUUAUUGGAUUGUCGAAAAGUUAUAAAAUUCUGAAACAUGGAAUUCCCCGUGGAAAACUUCAACUUGGUUCCAGAAUUAUCUUUGUGUGUUUCGUCCUUUCGAAUUUUAGAAAAAAUAUUGUACAUAAAAAUGCAUAACAGAUGAAAUUGAUUUACAUGCUAUAUGGUAUGGGUUUUUCUCAUUGUUGAAGACCGUACAGUUGUGAAAUUGUUUUCAUUUUUUUUAAUUUGAACUCUGGUGGAAAAUGUCUCAUUGGCAAUCAUAUCAUUAUCAUAUCUCUUUUUUUUUUUAAAUUAUAAUCAAUAUUUAUAUAAAUCCAUUCAUAUGGAUUAUGUUUUAUUCAUGAUAAUUGUGACUCUUUUCGCAACUGUACAAAUUUCACCUACAGUAACUUCCUUUCAUAUUAAUGGUCUUAGAACAUCAGUCUGGUUGAUCAAGCUACUAAAGUAAAAAUAAUUUUAAUGUGUGUCAUAAGAUUUUCAAAGUUUAUUCAAGAUACAUACAUAAAUAUGUUUUUUGGCACAAACUCAUUAAGAAUACAUUGUAAAUACCAACUGCAUAAAUAUAGAAUAAUAUUAAUUGAGAUGAUAGAAUGAAAAGUUGCACCAUGUUAAGGAUCUAUAGUCAGGUGAAAUUUAAAAAAAAAAUGGAAUUUAAAGAUAAUUUAAAUCAGAAAAACAUUUAAGUUAAUUAUAUAUAUUAUAUAGAUAGGUUAUAAUGGAACUCCUUUUCUAGAUAUUUGACUUUAAAAAAUGGUGGGAAAGGGCAGUUUCAAACUUCUAACUUAUAUUUAACAUUGGUAUUAUUUAGCAUAAUUCAAAUCAUAAGAAAAGAAACCUAGAAUCUGAUUAAAUUUUGGUAAUGACAUUUUAUGAGAUAUUGAAUAGAAAACUAAGUUGGUGAUUUGGGCUAAAUAUUUUACCAUGUAUUGUAGGGAAAAAACGUCUGACAUGACUACAUCCUUAAUAUAUCAUAUUAUUGCACUAUUUCUUGUAUUAAGACACUCUGAUUUGAAAGAGGAAAACAAUCUUAAGUAAUAUUGCCCAGGUAUUGUUAAAUUCCAAUAGAAAUAUUUUUCAACAGUGUUAAUGUAAUUAUAUUGUAUCUUAAAUUUAUAUUACAUUUAUUUUAUUUUCUAAUAUUUUUUGUUUUGAGGUAAAUAUAUAACAUUGUAAUAAGAUAUGUUAGUAUUGACAGGAUUUUAAGAUCCAUUUCAAUCAUUAAAAAAUGUGCACUUUAUGCAUAUUUUGCAUAUAGCUGCUCUAUGAUUAAUUUAA
Long non-coding RNA from Mytilus californianus (California mussel), 2857 nucleotides. RefSeq lists it as uncharacterized. Lineage: Eukaryota; Metazoa; Mollusca; Bivalvia; Mytilida; Mytilidae. The record is from RefSeq and is a predicted model, not a curated record. The transcript has 2 exons.